This is a long non-coding RNA of Daphnia pulex (common water flea), 994 nucleotides long. RefSeq lists it as uncharacterized. The transcript has 6 exons. The record is from RefSeq and is a predicted model, not a curated record. NCBI's taxonomy places the organism in Eukaryota, Metazoa, Arthropoda, Branchiopoda, Diplostraca, Daphniidae.
GCGAGAUGUUAGACCGAACACCGAAGAAAAUAAAUUAUAUAUUUAAAUAUAACUGAGAUUACUUUGAUCUUCUCAUCAUUAUCUUAUAGAAUUUUGUUUUGAAGACUACGUGAAAUGGAAAGAAACUAGGCAAACAAUACAGAUAGCAAGGGGCAUUAAAUAUGAAAUGGACACAUGCAUGGAAAUAUUUCAAAACAGGAUGUUGAAUUGGGCCAACUAUUGGAAGUCCUGAAUGCUGCAUACGUUUUAUUCUAACAAAAGAGGUCUGAGUGCCAUCUUAUGCAGGAGAAGUGUACACUAUCAACGAUAGUUCAGCUUGCAAGAGGAAACUUUUGACUCAAAUCUUCAAAUUUUUUCAAAAGAAAUUACUGCCACUCUUUCUACGACCAACAUGAUGACCAGUACAAGCAGCACUUUGAGAUUAGGACUCUACGAAGUUAAAAAACGACUUCAGCCCAAGUACCAAUAAUCACAUUGGUAUUAGGGUUUAUAGUUAAAAUUAUUAGUUGGAAGUUGAGAAGUGAUCUUCAAUUCAACAGCAGCUGCCGAAUGGUCCUUGGAUUACGAAGUUAUUCUUCGUUCAAGAUUAAAAAUUCCGCGAGGCUCAUUUAAAGAAUAAUGUCAAUAUUGUCAAGCCUUUCAUUCGUGACGCCAUUCGUGAAAUUGUUGGAGCAUGACUGACUGUAUUCUAGCUAGGUAAUAUUAUUUGUGCAAAUUUUUAAGCUAAUAAAACUAUCUUUAUCUUUUGUGAUAAUGAAUAAGCCAGUUAAGUAUUAAUUACGUUAUCUUCAAAUAACUUAUUAGGUCAACAUUUUGGCAUUAGAUUCCCCCCCUCCCUCAGCAUGCAUGAAGCACAUUUGAAACAUUUGAAAUUAACACUUACUCUUAGUUACAUGAGUUGACUUGCAGAAAUGUGAGAUGAUGUUGUCAAGCCAGCGUCAUCACAAGGAUUAAAGGGGAGGAGAGACAAAAUAACUGUAUCAAGGCUAUUCGC